AUUAGCUGGUUGGUGGGGUAAGAGCUUACCAAGGCGACGAUCAGUAGCCGGUCUGAGAGGAUGAACGGCCACACUGGGACUGAGACACGGCCCAGACUCCUACGGGAGGCAGCAGUGGGGAAUCUUCCACAAUGGACGAAAGUCUGAUGGAGCAACGCCGCGUGAGUGAAGAAGGCUUUCGGGUCGUAAACCUCUGUUGGAUGGGAAAAAAAGGUAGCAAUACUUUGAUGGUACCAUUUGAGGAAGCACCGGCUAACUACGUGCCAGCAGCCGCGGUAAUACGUAGGGUGCAAGCGUUGUUCGGAAUCACUGGGCGUAAAGAGAGCGUAGGCGGGAUCGUAAGUUAGGAGUUUAAUACAUGGGCUUAACCCGUGGUCGGCUCUUAAUACUGCGGUUCUUGAGUGUGGGAGAGGGCGAUGGAAUUCCAGGUGUAGCGGUGGAAUGCGUAGAUAUCUGGAAGAACACCAGUAGCGAAGGCGGUCGCCUGGCCUAACACUGACGCUGAGGCUCGAAAGCUAGGGGAGCAAACAGGAUUAGAUACCCUGGUAGUCCUAGCCGUAAACGAUGAACACUAGUUGCCGGAGGAGUCAAUCUUUUUGGUGACGAAGCUAACGCAUUAAGUGUUCCGCCUGGGAAGUACGCUCGCAAGAGUG
Molecule: ribosomal RNA, 653 nt
Filed under: uncultured bacterium
Lineage: Bacteria
Description: bacterial SSU rRNA
Rfam family: Bacterial small subunit ribosomal RNA
Source: RNAcentral